RNAcentral lists this ribosomal RNA (481 nucleotides) under uncultured bacterium. RNAcentral's name for it is "partial 16S ribosomal RNA". It matches the Rfam family "Bacterial small subunit ribosomal RNA", at positions 28 to 507 of the family's 1533-position model. The record is from RNAcentral.
GACGAACGCUGGCGGCGUGCUUAACACAUGCAAGUCGAACGGGAUCCGGGCUUUCGGGUUUGGUGAGAGUGGCGAACGGGUGAGUAACACGUGAGUAACCUGCCCCCUUCUUUGGGAUAACGUCGGGAAAUCGGCGCUAAUACUGGAUAUUCUUGCUGCAUCGCAUGGUGUGGUUUGGAAAGGGUUUCUGGUGGGGGAUGGGCUCGCGGCCUAUCAGCUUGUUGGUGGGGUGAUGGCCUACCAAGGCUUUGACGGGUAGCCGGCCUGAGAGGGUGUCCGGCCACACUGGGACUGAGACACGGCCCAGACUCCUACGGGAGGCAGCAGUGGGGAAUAUUGCACAGUGGGCGCAAGCCUGAUGCAGCGACGCCGCGUGAGGGAUGACGGCCUUCGGGUUGUAAACCUCUUUCAGUAUGGAACAAGGAUCCUUCUUUUGGGGGGUUUGAGGGUACGUGCAGAAGAAGCGCCGGCUAACUACGUG